This 460-nucleotide ribosomal RNA is filed under the name uncultured bacterium. RNAcentral describes it as "partial 16S ribosomal RNA". It matches the Rfam family "Bacterial small subunit ribosomal RNA", at positions 338 to 795 of the family's 1533-position model. The record is from RNAcentral.
CCUACGGGCGGCAGCAGUGAGGAAUAUUGGUCAAUGGACGCAAGUCUGAACCAGCCAUGCCGCGUGCAGGAAGACGGCUCUAUGAGUUGUAAACUGCUUUUGUACGAGGGUAAAUCCCGAUACGUGUAUCGGGUUGAAAGUAUCGUACGAAUAAGGCUCGGCUAACUCCGUGCCAGCAGCCGCGGUAAUACGGAGGAUUCAAGCGUUAUCCGGAUUUAUUGGGUUUAAAGGGUGCGUAGACGGUGCGAUAAGUUAGAUGUGAAAGCCCGGGGCUCAACUCCGGCACUGCCUCUGAUACUGUCGGGCUAGAGUUUAGUUGCGGUAGGCGGAAUGUAUGGUGUAGCGGUGAAAUGCAUAGAGAUCAUACAGAACACCGAUUGCGAAGGCAGCUUACCAAACUACGACUGACGUUGAGGCACGAAAGCGUGGGGAGCAAACAGGAUUAGAUACCCGUGUAGUC